Molecule: unclassified non-coding RNA, 390 nt
Filed under: soil metagenome
Description: partial contains 5.8S ribosomal RNA, internal transcribed spacer 2, and large subunit ribosomal RNA
Rfam family: 5.8S ribosomal RNA (bases 1-121)
Source: RNAcentral
AUGAAGAACGUAGCGAAAUGCGAUACUUGGUGUGAAUUGCAGAAUCCCGUGAACCAUCGAGUCUUUGAACGCAAGUUGCGCCCGAAGCCAUUAGGCCGAGGGCACGCCUGCCUGGGCGUCACACGUCGUUGCCCCCCCAUCUACUCCUUCGGGAUUGCGGGGGGCGGAUGAUGGCCUCCCGUGCGCCUCGCCGCGCGGUUGGCAUAAAUGCCAAGUCCUCGGCGACGCACGCCACGACAAUCGGUGGUUGCGAAACCUCGGUUGCCCGUCGUGUGCGGUCGUCGCGCAUCGAGGGCUCGAAAAAAUUGCCGGGUUCCGGCUCGGCUUUCAACGCGACCCCAGGUCAGGCGGGGUUACCCGCUGAAUUUAAGCAUAUCAAUAAGCGGAGGA